GACGAACGCUGGCGGCGUGCUUAACACAUGCAAGUCGAACGGAAAGGCCCUGCUUUUGUGGGGUGCUCGAGUGGCGAACGGGUGAGUAACACGUGUGUAACCUGCCCUUGACUUUGGGAUAACUUCAGGAAACUGGGGCUAAUACCGGAUAGGAGCUCCUGCUGCAUGGUGGGGGUUGGAAAGUUUCGGCGGUUGGGGAUGGACUCGCGGCUUAUCAGCUUGUUGGUGGGGUAGUGGCUUACCAAGGCUUUGACGGGUAGCCGGCCUGAGAGGGUGACCGGCCACAUUGGGACUGAGAUACGGCCCAGACUCCUACGGGAGGCAGCAGUGGGGAAUAUUGCACAAUGGGCGGAAGCCUGAUGCAGCAACGCCACGUGCGGGAUGACGGCCUUCGGGUUGUAAACCGCUUUCGCCUGUGACGAAGCGUGAGUGACGGUAAUGGGUAAAGAAGCACCGGCUAACUACGUG
Molecule: ribosomal RNA, 468 nt
Filed under: uncultured bacterium
Lineage: Bacteria
Description: partial 16S ribosomal RNA
Rfam family: Bacterial small subunit ribosomal RNA
Source: RNAcentral